CUAUCCUUAUUGCUUCUUAAUUUCUUAUAAUACUCCUGCUUAGCUUUAAAUGAAAUAAAUGUGAAAAUUAAAUAAAAUAAACUCUUUUUCUUUUUCUUCUCUAUUUUCUCUUCUCUUAUCUCUCUAAGAUCCUUCUAAGGGUUCAAUUUAUUGUAGUUCAGAGAUUGAUUGAUUCAAUUUUAUCACAUGAUUGAAUUUUGUCUAAUUAAGGGUUCAAUUGAUUCGAAAUAAAAAAUUAAAAGCUUGAUUGAUUAUAAUAAAGUAUUAUGGACUCAAAUAACUUUUUAAUUGUAAUUUAAGAGUAUUUUUGACUCUUUAACCUUUUAUUUCAAAUGUUAUAAUUUCAAAACUAGCAAUGGUAUGUAACGAUUUACUGAAACAGAAAUUUUAAAUCAAUGGACUGUGCAGAAAUUUAGGAAUAUUUCAAUAACCAUCUUCCUCAAGUUCAAUUUUACAAUUUGCAUAAAGUUUGAUAAUUCCAUUCUCAGUUCCUAUUUUCGUCUGUUAUUAGUAUGAUUUCAAGGUUUCAACAAUUUCCACAUCUGGCAGAAGAAAAAUAAAAUGGCCCCAUUUUAGCCUAUAUUUGCAACACAUUUGGUGCAUAUAUAUGGAAAUAUGAAUUUUGCAAUUAUUUAUUUUCAAAAUUGAAGCUGAUUUUCCACUAACAAAAUGAAAGAAUCUUUUCCAAGAAAUAAUUAAAAUCAAAUCAAAGAAUCCUGUUUUUUCAUUUUCAUUUAGAAUUCUACCUAGCAGAAAUUACAGAUAUUUUAAUCCAAUUUUUUUAAAACAAACAAAACAGUAACAACAAAAAUGUUUUUUUUUACUAUAUACUUUGUUUAAUUUCCAUGGCGAAUGGGCAUGAGGUCGAUCUAGUGGCCAGGUCCUUGAGGACUAGGUCCCGAAGACAACCGCUCGAGCCAGUAUGACAUCGUGAACUUUGCCUUCUGGUAGACCGCAGAGUAUGCAUCCAGGUGAUUCGCCUUUGCAAAAUCCUCAGGCAAAACUCUGGUAGCUUCAACACCGACAUGGCUCAGCACUGCCACUGAGAUCACAAAAAUGAUCAAAAGGGUACUCAGUUUUGUGCUAUUCAUCUUCCCAAAAGUUAAUCUAAACGUGGGCAAAAGGCUAAAAAUCUUAGUAAGAGGAGGAGCUUUGGUUUCUUGAUGUUGUGAAUGAAGAGAAAUUGGAAGUAAAUAUCUGGUAUAUAUAUAGAAAAACCAGGUUUGCAAAGCCCGG
RNAcentral lists this long non-coding RNA (1236 nucleotides) under Durio zibethinus. Its description in RNAcentral is "long non-coding RNA (DZIB_LNC000618)". The record is from RNAcentral. Lineage: Eukaryota; Viridiplantae; Streptophyta; Magnoliopsida; Malvales; Malvaceae.